UAUUACAGGCACUUGAACCAAAUAUUUACAGCAUGACUAAACACUAAGAGCUGUUGCGGUCUGGCUGACGAAAGGUAAUUUUUUCACCAUCGGGGAUCCCCAGUCCUUGGUCGACAUAAGACCGCCAGCACAUACUGAGAUCCUCACGAAUCAGCCUUCUUAGGACCCCUCCCCUCGCAAUCCGGACUCUCAUCAAAGUUCUUCGCCGGGUACUUCGCCGAUGCAACCCCAACCUCAAACACAAGAUCAUCUCCCGAAGACCGGAUCCCUGUAAUCGACCACCAGCGGAAGAAUGCCCAGACGCGAAUCCCGUCGAGCCCCUCGAUCUUGCGGUCAUGGAGCCGGCCGGUGAUGCGAUGGGAGUAGGAGGCGAGGUAGUUGUCCGGGGGGAGCGUGAUGCGGCAGUCGGGGCCGUCGAGGUCGACGGCGAAGUCGCCGGAGGUGCGGUUGAGGGUGUAGGCCAGGACGUUGGUGGGGAGGAGGCCGAUGGGAAAGCCGCUGUGGAGGAGCUCAGAGUGGGCGGUGUUGGGGGUGGAGAGGGCGAGGGAGAGGGAGGCGAGGUGGAGGAGGGCGGCGGCGGCGGCG
This 585-nucleotide unclassified non-coding RNA is filed under the name Hevea brasiliensis (rubber tree). Lineage: Eukaryota; Viridiplantae; Streptophyta; Magnoliopsida; Malpighiales; Euphorbiaceae. The record is from RNAcentral.